Molecule: ribosomal RNA, 253 nt
Filed under: uncultured bacterium
Lineage: Bacteria
Description: partial 16S ribosomal RNA
Rfam family: Bacterial small subunit ribosomal RNA
Source: RNAcentral
GACAGAGGGUGCAAACGUUGUUCGGAAUUACUGGGCGUAAAGCGCGUGUAGGCGGCUUAGCAAGUCGGAUGUGAAAGCCCUGGGCUUAACCCAGGAAGUGCACUCGAAACUGCUGAGCUUGAGUUCUGGAGAGGAAGGCGGAAUUCUCGGUGUAGAGGUGAAAUUCGUAGAUAUCGAGAGGAACACCGGUGGCGAAGGCGGCUUUCUGGACAGUGACUGACGCUGAGACGCGAAAGCGUGGGGAGCAAACAGG